GACGAACGCUGGCGGCGUGCUUAACACAUGCAAGUCGAACGGAAAGGCCCUGCUUGCAGGGUACUCGAGUGGCCAACGGGUGAGUAACACGUGGGUGAUCUGCCCUGCACUUCGGGAUAAGCUUGGGAAACUGGGUCUAAUACCGGAUAGGAACCAUCUUUAGUGUGGUGGUUGGAAAGUUUUUUCGGUGUAGGAUGAGCUCGCGGCCUAUCAGCUUGUUGGUGGGGUAAUGGCCUACCAAGGCGGCGACGGGUAGCCGGCCUGAGAGGGUGUACGGCCACAUUGGGACUGAGAUACGGCCCAGACUCCUACGGGAGGCAGCAGUGGGGAAUAUUGCACAAUGGGCGCAAGCCUGAUGCAGCGACGCCGCGUGGGGGAUGAAGGCCUUCGGGUUGUAAACUCCUUUCGCUAGGGACGAAGCUUUGUUGUGACGGUACCUAGAUAAGAAGCACCGGCUAACUACGUG
Molecule: ribosomal RNA, 466 nt
Filed under: uncultured bacterium
Lineage: Bacteria
Description: partial 16S ribosomal RNA
Rfam family: Bacterial small subunit ribosomal RNA
Source: RNAcentral